AACGAACGCUGGCGGCAUGCCUAACACAUGCAAGUCGAACGAAACCUUCGGGUCUUGUUGCGCUCGGGUGCGUACCGCGUGGGAACCUGCCCUUAGGUUCGGAAUCCCUCCCCGUGGGGUAUCCUCAUACCGGUUAAUGUCUUCGCACCUAAGAUGUAUCGCUUUUGGAUGGGCCCGCGUUGGAUUCGCUGGUUGGUAGUGUAAAAGCCUACCAUGGCGACGAUCCAUAGCUGGUCUGAUAGGAUGAUCAACCAGAAUGGGAAUGAGACACGGCCUAGAAUCGUACGGGAGGGAGCAGAGGGGAAUAGUGGACAAGGGGCGAAAGCCUGAUAAAGCAACGCCGCGGGAGAGAGGAAGGCCGUAGGGUUGUAAAGCUCUUUUAGACGGGAUGAGAAUGACAGUACCGGGAGAAUAAGCUCCGGCUAACUCCGUG
This 433-nucleotide ribosomal RNA is filed under the name uncultured bacterium. RNAcentral describes it as "partial 16S ribosomal RNA". It matches the Rfam family "Bacterial small subunit ribosomal RNA", at positions 29 to 507 of the family's 1533-position model. The record is from RNAcentral.